CCGCCUUACGGGGUGCUGGCGGUAGGAGCGCUCCCUGGGGCGGCGCCCGGCUGCUGGAGGACGGCGUAGCGCUCCGAGGAGCCGGGCGGAAGGGAAGCGCUCAGGGCAACGGCCGCGGCUAAGCCUGAAACCGAGGCGGGGAAGGCGGGAGAGAUGCGCUCGCGUUGGCUGCACCAGCAGCAGGCCGCUGCCUGCAGGCCCGGCGCGGCGCACAAAAUGCAGUGCUGGCGGAGCGGGAGAAUGAAAAGCAAAGGCGCACCCCGUAAUCGGUUCGCCCGCGCCUGGUGCGCAGAGGAGAAAGAGGCUGUGCCUGAGGCACGACACGGCGAGCCGCACCGCUUUUGCCUCCCUGCCAUUUGCUGACAGCCGCAUUCUGCAGGGACGGGAUUCAGAGCCGCCCUGACGUUACGCAGAAUAACGUCCGCGUUUCACUGCACUGCACAGCGCAGUCGGGUUGCUUUUCCCACUGCCACCCUUUCCCCAUACCUUCAGUCUCAAAACCAUCAUGUAGAGGAAUACAGGAAUGAUCCCAAAGGGCAACUGGUGCUGAAAAGAUAUGUUUCAGAAAGAUAAAGGGGAAAUUAAGAACAUCUAGAGUGGUAAGAUCUGCAUUAGCAAGUGGUCAUGUUGUAAGCAGGCAAG
This 642-nucleotide long non-coding RNA is filed under the name Gallus gallus (chicken). RNAcentral's name for it is "lncRNA (ENSGALG00010002031.1)". Lineage: Eukaryota; Metazoa; Chordata; Aves; Galliformes; Phasianidae. The record is from RNAcentral.